GACGAACGCUGGCGGCGUGCUUAACACAUGCAAGUCGAACGGAAAGGCCCUGCUUUUGUGGGGUGCUCGAGUGGCGAACGGGUGAGUAACACGUGAGUAACCUGCCCUUGACUUUGGGAUAACUUCAGGAAACUGGGGCUACUACCGGAUAGGAGCUCCUGCUGCAUGGUGGGGGUUGGAAUGUUUCGGCGGUUGGGGAUGGACUCGCGGCUUAUCAGCUUGUUGGUGGGGUAGUGGCUUACCAAGGCUUUGACGGGUAGCCGGCCUGAGGGGGUGACCGGCCACAUUGGGACUGAGAUACGGCCCAGACUCCUACGGGAGGCAGCAGUGGGGAAUAUUGCACAAUGGGCGGAAGCCUGAUGCAGCAACGCCGCGUGCGGGAUGACGGCCUUCGGGUUGUAAACCGCUUUCGCCUGUGACGAAGCGUGAGUGACGGUAAUGGGUAAAGAAGCACCGGCUAACUACGUG
This 468-nucleotide ribosomal RNA is filed under the name uncultured bacterium. Its description in RNAcentral is "partial 16S ribosomal RNA". It matches the Rfam family "Bacterial small subunit ribosomal RNA", at positions 28 to 507 of the family's 1533-position model. The record is from RNAcentral.